AGACGGAGGUCUCACUUGGUCACGAGGCUGGAGUGCAGUGGCGCAAUCUCGGCUCACUGCAACCUCUGUCUCCUGGGUUCAAGAGAUUCUCCUGCCUCAGCCUCCCGAGUAGCUGGGACUACAGGCGAGUGCCAUCACGUCCAGCUAAUUUUUGUUAUUUCUAGUAGAGAUGGGAUUUCACCAUGUUGGCCAGGAUGGUAUCAAUCUCUUGACCUCGUGAUCCGCCCGCCUCGGCCUCCCAAAGUGCUGGGAUUACAGGCAUGAGCCACCAUGCCCAGCCACAGAUUCCUUCUUGUGUUCAUUUGAAAUGUGAACUCUGAACAAAGGACAGUUUAUCUUGGAUAGUCUUAUUCCAUGAUUUAUAUAUCACUAAAAGAGCAGAGAAUCUGUAGAUAUUAUAAGUGGGAUCCUUAAUAAUUAAUAUAUGGAAAGAGAAGCUUACCAGAUACCAGGAUUUUUCUGCAUUGCCUGGAAAAGGAGGAUAUCUGCAAACUUUUGUACCCUGUGCACUUAUCAGAUUGGACCUCAGAUGGGACCUCUGCCCCACAGAAUUUCUCUUUAAUGACUCAUUGCUUACUGGUCUAAGAAGAAAAAUAAUUAUAGCCUCAGGUUAGAAAAAUUGAAAUUGAAUCAUUUCACAGUCAGAUUAAUGCUCCAUUAGUCCCAUCUAUAUGAAAGGGAGGAGGGAGUCACCAAGUCAGGUUGGAAAUUCCUUGGGAUGAUUGAAUGUAAGGGAGAAAAACUGUGAUAAUUGACAUAGUCAAGGCAAGAACCCAGUUCCGAAGCAAAUAUUUUCUUUGUGUGAGGAAAGGGUACAGUAUUGCUGGUUCUUUUUUACAUAUAAUAUUACUUUGUAUUCUCCCAAUACUUUAUUUUUUUUUAAAAUGGAUAAGAAAUCAUAACCAGUAGAGAGAGUAAAGAAACACAGGUCUAUUUUCUUUAAUGAAUAUCAUCACUCUUGAGUUAUAACUCUAUUAUCUACAGUCUUGUUAAGUGAAAAUUGUUUCCUCAAUAAGAACACUUUUUUAUAGAAGUUGAAGUUCUCUUCUGGCACACAUUAGAAUUCUCCAGUAUUCAUAUUUCAGUUUUAUUCAUGGUGUCAAAAGGAAUUGAUGUGAUAAAAUUUCCAAUAAUGCAAUGAGAAUAUUCACGUUUGUGCAAAUACCAUGGAGAUGUUGAGAAGUAGAGUGAAGGGACAUUAUGUGAAAAGUAACAUCUCACUGGACUCACCAACUCUAAAUCUUACUUUUUUCUUCAGAGAUGAGGUCUCACUCUGUCACUCAGGCUGGGGUGCAGUGGCAUGAUUAUGGCUCACUGCUACUUUGAAUUCCAGGGCUCAAAGGAUCCUACUGCCUCAGCCUCCUGCGUAGGGAGCCAUCAUACUCGGCCAUUUUUUUAAAAAAAAAUUUUUCUGUAGAGACAAGGUAUCACCAUGUUACCCAGACUGAUCUUGAACCCCUGGCUCAAGCAGUCCUCCCACCUCAGUCUCUCACAGUGCUGAGAUUACAGGUGUGAGCCACCAUGCCUAGCUUAAAUCUUGCUUCUUAUAUAUGCAAUUAUUAACAAUAGAAAGCUGUUUUGUAUUACUAGAUUACUUGGUUUUUCAAAAUUUCAACAACUCUUUUUGAUUUUUAAGAAUAUUGGUUAGAAUGGAAGUAUUGGCAUAAGUCACUAGUUUUCAAAAACAUACCCAGCAGAGUUGAAAGCGAAUGUAAAACGCCAUGGCCUGUUGAUUCUAUCAUCGUAUAGAGUAUUUUUCUGCUUAUGUACUUUUAUUGUUUUGGUUUAGAGACAUGUAUGAUUUAUUACACCAGUAUUUUAAAGCACAUUCUCCCUCUUCAUUUCUGCAAUGUACUGUGUCGAACCAACUUCAUAGGUAAAAGUUGUAAAAUAUUGCUAAUUUCACAUGGUUCAGCCUAAUAGAAUCUCAUGCCCUUUUAAGCCUUGGAGAAGGAAAGCCUCUCAUAUUGUCUCCUUCCAGAUUCUUGGCUCAAUCCAAGCUUCUGCAUAGUUGGAGUGGCAAAUCCCACUCCUGCAUCUGGUGAGCUGUGCAGUUAGCAGCUCUGACACUUUUCUACGCUGUUCAAACAAUUACAGCCCCAAAAUGUGAGUGUGGCCUUAAAAAAGGCUGAUUCCAUGUGACUACCAGAUUGCUUCAAGAUCUGCCCAGUCAUCCCCCUGACUGUGUCAUCCCUUAAAAAUCUGUGUCAUCUGGGUACAGAAAAUUAGAAGAAUGUUCUCUUGAUCUCUGCUUAAAUUUUCAGAAUUUUUCCUUUGAAACCACGAACUAGAGAAUUGGAAUUAGACUUAAUGACUUGACUCUAUGUAGUAUAUAUUUCUUUUCUCCAAACACUGUUUUGUAUACAUGAGGAGGGACAAGAAAUGAAGGAAGGGGAAAAGUAUAGCGUUUCAGCCCCAGAAAGGUACCUUUCACAAUGUAAAUGCAGAGUAUCUGGUUAGACAUAGCCAUUUUGCGCACAAGCACAUUCAGAGAUGAAGACAUGCAGUCUCUAAUUGUUUCGUUGUAUCUAAGAGGGUGAAAAUAGAGGUGGCAUAUGAAAAAAACCUUCCAUUUUCAUUGAGCGUACCCAUAUUCUAUGGCAUUUCUUACCAGUCAGUAGGAGUUUUUUUUCCUACUGAUCAGUACUACUGAAUUACCCAAAGGCAAAAAUAUUCCCUAUUGUUUCUUUGUUUUCUAACUUUGUUCUCUAGCUUCUAGGUAGAUGUUAACUUUUUGGUAUUUAAAUGUGCACACUCCCUGAGACCAAACUGCCUCAGCAAGUUUUACUUCAAUAUUAAUGGGCAAGAUGAAUAUUGUUUGAUGUUUCACUGUUAGCAAAAGGGAGGAGAAAGAACUAGAACUAAGUUCAAUUGAACCAUUACUAUGCAGGGUCUAUACAGUCAUGAUUAUUAUCUCAGAUUCCAAAUUCUGUUUACCAAAAAUUAUGAUUAUCAAAUUGUUAAGAUAGUAAAUUUUAUGUGUAUUUUUACCACAAUAAAAAGUUGGAAAAAAUGAUUUGACUAUAUCCAAGUUUGCAGAGUUGGUAAGUAGCUUUUUAUUGCAAAAAACUUGCUGAUUUGUGAAAGAACCUUCAUUUCCAAAUUAGGAAUAAUUUCCUGCAAGGAAAGACUAUGCUGUGUGUGUGCCUGUGUGCUCUUGUGUGUGUGUGUGUGUGUGUGUGUGUGUGUGUGUGUGUAACUCUUCUGUUGUGAAUCCAUCAGUGGUUUUGCAUUGUUUACAGGAUAAUGCUCAGAAUCCAUAACAAGGUCAGUAAACUCAUCUAUCAUUUCCUAGGCAUGUCUGUUAUCUGAUCUCUAGCCUUUCUUCUCCCAUCGUCGCCAAGUUUAGUUCUACUUGACUUCCUUCACUUCCUUCCCAUUGACCUAGGGAGCACCUCUAAGACUGAAAGGGAAGUCGUGGGCUUGGUGGAGUUGAGGUGGGGAAUCUAUGAACAGAUAAAUCAGAUAGAAGCAUUGUUUGGUAGAAAGAAGAGCUCAUGAGUGGCAGUAGAGAUUGAGUUAAAGAGUGGGAUGAAAAAGAAUCAAAAGGAAGUAGUACGAUUUGGUGACCAAUUUGUUAGAAGGGAUGAGGGGCAGUAAGUAGUCAGUGAUGACCCCGAGGUUUCUAGCUGGACCUAGAAUUGUCCAACUAGUCCAAAAAUGAAAAAAUUUGCCUUUAACUAAGAUGAGUUUGACAAAAGAUGAAGUAAAUUUGAGGGUGUAGGUAAUGAAAACAAGUUGGCUUUUUCUCCCUUGAUGGCAAAUUUCAGUGUGUAUGGAUGUAUACAUUUGUGUAUUUGUGUGUUUGUCAAUACCCAUUGAUUUUUCUUAGGUUAUAUUCAAAUACUGAAGUUGUACUAAUUAAGCAACCGAAGUGUAUGCUUUCAGCAUGGUACCUUUCACACAGCACCAAACAUCAUUAUAUUAUUUUCUAUUGUAGCAUAACAAAUCACAACAAAAUUAGCAUCUUAAAACAAUACACAUUUGUUACUUUACAGUUUCCAUGGGUCAGGAGACUGCACUUGACUUAGCUGGGUUUUCUGUUCAGGGUCUCAAAAGGCUUUAAGAAAGGUGUUGGCCAGGAUUGGGGUCUCAUUUGAGGUUCUGGCUCCUUUUUCCAUAUCAGGUGGCUGUUGGCAGAAUCAAUUUCUUAACCACUGUAAAAUUCCUUGAAGCUUGUUUCUUCAAGGUCAGCAGGAGAAAGAAACUCUGACUUCUGACUUCUAGGCCAUUUUUUGGAGAGCUAAUCACUUGCUUAGACCAGACCAACCCUGAAUAACCUUUGAUUAACUUAAAGUCAACUGAUUAAGGAUGCUAAUUACAUUUGAACAAUCCUUUAACUUUGCCAUAUUCCACUGGUUAAAAGAAAAUUACAGAUGUUGACCAUCUGGGAGGAGAUAGUGUAAGGGCCUGAGCUAUUGGAGAUCAUCUUAGAAUUCUGCCCACCACAAUCGUGUUCUAUGUUUAUGCAGGUAUAUGUGUGAGUGUGUAUUUAUGUGUGUAGUUAAUAACUUAAAAAAUGAAUUACAUGUAUCCCAAAACAAGCGGCAACUGCACAUCCCAUGCCUUCUUACUUGGAUUAGUUUUUCCUGAAGUUACUCCAGGGUCCUGUCUUCCCAUUGUUAGGUUUCCUUUCUGCUGUCCUGGCUUCACCUUUCGUAGCCAAGAAAGCACUAAAUUUGGCUCUGAAAUGUACAUUUCAGUACAAUCUCCCUGUCUUGGCAGCAGUGGUGAGGCUUUAGCAAAUCGUUUGUGAUCCCAAAUGAGCUUCAGCAGUUUGGAGUGAGGCCAUGGCCCACAUGUUUGAUGCCACCAGCCUGAUUUUUGUAAUGAAAACUAUAUCAAUAAGGUAAGUAGUCCCUUCUUAGGCAUGCAUUCUUUUCCAAUUUUAUGUAGUGGUCAGUCAUUCUUACAGUGAUACAAAUAAAUAUUUAUGCUUUCAUGUCUUUUAAGCUUUUAGCAACGUUAAAAGAAAAGGAGUCUGUAAUGAAUGAAAUUGUCCCAUUGAACUUAUUUUUUCAGCUUUUGAGGAUAUAUCGAGUGUACUUCUUAAAACUGAACAUGUGCAUUUGUUACAUUUAUAUAUGUUUCCACAUAUCACUUUGUAAAAGAAUUAGAGAGAGCUUAUGAAAUAGAAUUUAAGUUGAUUUGGUAUGAGCAAAAUAUAUUGUUGGAAUGAAGCAAAGGAAAGAAAGCAUAAGAGCCAUCAUAGUUAAUUCUGUUUAACUUGUUUUAACUCUAUCAAGGUUGGGCCAAUGUGGCAAUUUAUUAAAUAAUUUGCUCUCAUUAAUGCAAAAGAAGAAAUGUUCCUUAGGGAAAAACAUGUUGUCUUGGGUACAAAAUUCCAGCAAUGUUUUUUACCACAUGAGACUUUAUGGAAAAUUCCAGAUAACAGACCUUGCCCUAAUGGUAUGUGGGCAACAAAUCCAGAAGUAUCUAUCAUAGCAUUCUUUCUUAUAACAAAUUUUAUUAGAAGCCAAGGCUAGAAUGUUGAAGCUGGACUCCGGGCAGGUGAUUCAAAUGCCAUACUAUUACUUUCCUAGCAUGGACAGUUCUGGUUAUUAACUCACUCUUACAUAAAACUUUUAGAACCAGAGGAUUGGAGGGAUGCUGACAUUCCUUAGAUAUCUUAGGUAAUAAUCCUGAAAAUUCACUUUUCCUGAAGUUUUUGAUAGCAGAUAGUAAGAAAAUUUCACUUUAAAACUCACUUUGAGGACCUGAAAUGUUAUAUUCCACUUUGCUGAUUGAGGUCAAGGACUAUUGUUUGAACCUCAAACAAGCAGGUGGUGAGGUUCACUUUCAACUGGUAAUUACGAGAAAACGAACCAUUAUGCUAGAUGCAAGGCCACCUCAUCUUGCAUCCGGUAAACAUGCCAACAAAAACACAAACAAGUGUCUGUAAUACCUUUCAACAGCUCCCUGUUGCUCUCAUUAUAAAUAUGGAAAUCCUUACCAUGGCAUUCAGGAAUCUGCAUGAUCUGAUGCAUGUGUAUAUUGACAGCACAUCUUGUAUCAUUCGUGACAUCACUCUCUAUUAUUUGGCUGAUUUUGACCUAAUUCAGCACUUGGAAACCACCAUACUCACUCCUGCCUUGGAGUUUUUAUGCAUACUGUUUCCUCUACACUGAAUAAUACCUCCAAACCCUACCGUCACUGCCUAUUAACCCCCUACUUCUCCUGUUUCUCAGUUCAAAUCUCCCUUUUUCUGAUUAUGUGUCUCUGAUUCUCCAAAUCUUGCCAGUUGGCCCUGUUAGGGACUCUCAGAGCUUACUGUAGUUUUAUUUCAUCCAUAGCAGCUUAUGAGAUUUUUUUCAUUAAUGUCUAUUAGCCAGAUCGUCAGCUCCAUGAAGGCAGGUUGCAGGCUUGUUUUUCUGACCACUCUAUCAUCAACCCAGAGCACAAUAAAUGAACAUAAAGUGAAUUCAAUAAAAAUGUGCUGAAAGGAUAAACUACUGUUAUUUACUACAUUAAUUACAACUUUUGUUAGCCCCUUACAAAAGAUGCUUUCUUAGAUGCUGCAUUUCCCAUUCUACAGAGGUUGAAUAAUAUGACUAUGAUAGUUUUAGAGGAGAUGGGAAAUAGUUUGGUAUUUCUUAAAUUAAAAUAUGAAUCUGUUAGAGCUAGAAUUUUAUUUUCUGAAAGAUAAUCUUGUUUAGCCAGUGUGAGAAACUACAUUACACAAAGAACAUUUUGCUAGUAUUAUUUCGCAGGAGAACUAAACUUGGUAAACUGUCGUUCCUAGAAGAUUGUUUUUAUCAGGCACCGUUGCCUUCUUUGAGCUUUAUGAACUCAUGUUUUAGGACAGUUAGACAUUACUGAUGGAGUUAGAGAAUACUAGAAAGUGAACUUCAGCUAAAGAAAGUGAUCUUUUUUCUCUAAUGGCAAUUCAGUUGCAAAGUUCUAUUUUUAUUCUAAGGGGCUCAUAGAGGGUGGUCCCCAGGAUUCUCUUAGGGGUCUGUGAGACCAUACAUAUUUUCAUAAUAACACCAACAUGUCAUUUGUAAUUUUCACUGUACAUUUUCUCAGCAGAGUUCUCCAGAAGCUAUACAAUGUGAUGCAUAUUAUUUCAUAACAGAUUGAAUACGGAAGCAGACAUGAGAACCUAGAUGUCUUCCAUUAGGUGGCACAAAUAAAAAACAUUGUCACUCUUCUCACAGUUUUUUGGAAAAUAGUUAUUUUUACCGAAAAUAAAUUUAUUAUAUUUUUUGAAAAUGAAUUAGUAAAUAAAUAUUUAUAAUUGUCUCAGUUUUAAGAUGGCAAAUAUUCCACAUAAACAAGAAAUCUGUGAGUCUUCAAUAAUUUUUAAGACUAUAAAGAGAUUCUGAUACCCAGAUAUUUGAGAAUCACUUCUCCGAGCCAUUUUAUUGACACAAUUUUACUUGACUUUGCAACCUGACCGUUUUAGAUACCUUUUCUUUCCAGUCUUUUCUAAAAGAUCAAUUGAUUAAUUGGGUUGACUCGAUGAUACAAGCACACGAUCUUCAGUAUCAAAAGAUACUCAUGACCAGUAAACCCCUCUUUAGUUCUCAAUUAUCCAAUUCCCUUUCCUGGAGGCAACUGCUACUCUUGUAUUUCCUAAUGGAGAUCUUUUAUGUGUUUACUCAAAUGCUAAGACAUAAUAUAUCAUAUUCUGCUUCCUGCUUAUCUUCCCUAAUGAUAUAGCAAGGAGAUUGAUUCCUAACUCUGCAUGCAAAUCUGCCAUAGUGCUUUUAGCAAUUGCAGUAUCGUCCAUGAUCUGGAUGAGACAUAAUUUCACCAGACUCCUGUUGGAGUCUGUUGGAUUGUUUCCCAUCCUUUGUCACUACCUACAGUGUAGUGAUGACUAUUCUUUUACUUAUUUGUUCAUGUAAAGUAAAUAUAUCUCUAGAAUUAAUAUUUGGAGGUGGAAUUCCCAAGUCAAAGGAAGGAAAUACAUAUUUUUUAAAAGGAUUUUAGUAGAUUGUUCUGAAAAAAAUUACACCAAACUUACCCUCACAUGACUAUUUUUGCUUUUUCUCAGUAUACUUUUUAAUAGAUUGCAUUAUAAAAUUUUAAUAUUUACCAUUUAAAUAAGUGAAAGCAAUGUCUAAUUGCAGUUUUAAUUUUAUUUUUAUUAAGGAAGUUAAUCUUUUUUUUUUAGCUGAAGUCGAAAAAUAUGUUCAUCUCUUUUUCAUUGAAGCUCAUUAGUUUCCAAAAAUGUGUCCUCAUUUCAUACAAAGUAUCUUUGAACCAUUGCCAGGUCAUAGAAGUGACUCUUGAAGAUCUUCUUCUCUGGGAUCAAGGGUCACAUCUCGUUCUCCUGGCUUCAUACCCUUCUCUCUCUACACAUCUCAAUUAAGUAAGCUUCCUUUCUUAUCCUCUGAAAUUAUAAUCAUCUUUAGGCUCCCAGAUAUAGGUGACCUGUGCCAUCUAGUCUGACUUCCAGUUUGCAAAUUAUCUUCAAAAAGUGGAAACAGCUUUUACUUUCUACUUUAUAAAUUCAUACGUGCUCAGGAGGACUUUUAUUAAGAUUGGGACAUAUUGCUUAGUUAGUCUCUAGGGUGGAAUCAUAAUUAAUGAAAGAACUCUGUCUGAUGGAAGGCUUAGUCUAACAAAUCAUCCUAAAACUUCAUUAGACAUUGUGUAAUCCCCAUGGACACUGUUGAAGAGACACUUGAUUAGGCAGAUCGUGACAACUUCAGCUUUGCCCAUCAUACAUCCUCCAGAGACUCCUCAAACUCAAGACAGACUUUCUACAGGAAGGAAUGGCUGUUUCUAUUUCAGAAUAUUACUGAUACCAGAGCUUUGCUGCAUCUUCAUGUACUUUCCUUUAUUUUUAUUUUUAUUUUUUUACAGACAAAAUCUUGCUCUGUUGCCCAGGCUGGAGUGCAGUGGCAUCAUCAUAGUUCACUGUCACCUCAAACUCCUGGGCUCAAGUGAUCCUCCUGCCCCAGCCUUCCGGAGUGCUAGGAUUACAGGAGUGAGCCACCACACCCAGUCUUCAUGUACUUUCUUAUGUAAAUUUAUUUUGUUUGAGAUUUUCUUUGUGAUGGAAUAAGCAAUUCCUUCCUUAACUCAUUUCCCGAGACAUUUUUGGAAUUUGCAAUAUAUAUGAAAAAGCACUUAUUCUCAGUGAUGGAAACACCAUUAUUUCUUUUACUAGAAUGUGAUCUUCUGGUUUUAAUAUUUAUGUCUCUGUGCCAAGGUGAAAAUAUUGUAGAAAUGAAAGUAUAAUGAGAGAGAAUCCAGAUAAUAAGAUUUUCAAUAAACAAAAAAAGAAGUAUGUAUAGGAGUCCUGUCUGCUGCAAAUUUUAAGAAUGGUUUUCUGUCAACAUACAGUUGUCAUUGCUUACUGAAAACUUCUAUAAAAAACAAGACACAAAUGAUUGAGAAGAUAGUAGAGACUGAAACUAGAACUGUUGAUUUAAUAAGCUUUCUUACUCAUAUACUUAAUCCACAGUAAAUUAUUAGCAAAUUACAUUUUCAUAGUAUUUCAGAAUUAAAAGAUCAUAGUCAGGGCUUAAAGGAAUCCAGUUGUUUUAACAGUGCUGGAGGCAAAGCGUUCUAGCAGCAAUCACCUGUCAGAAUGACUUAGGUUGGAUUGUUUGCACCACACACUUUACUAUAGUUACAUGUCUUUCAUGUCCCUUUGUAUCUCUGACUCAGUUUCCUCAUCAGUGGUAAUAGCAGAACUUACAUUUUAGUGGGAGGAUUAAAAUAAUGUACAUGAAAUCAAAUAUAUAAGUCAGCACUCAAUAAAUAAUAGUUUGUCAUCAUUAUUACUAUAGUAAAUGACCACUAUCUGAAAUGGGAUAUAAAAAGGAAAGUGAAAUUACUAAAUAAAUAUGAGCGUACAAAGACCUGACAAUUUAGAUACAAUAUACUCACUCUGUCUCAAAAUAGUGUCUUCUGAAGCUUUAGUCAGAAUAUUAUGGUGACAUUUCUGCUAGAUUUGUCAUUGAGUUGCUGGGUUUGGGGAAGAACCUAGGCUACACAUUUCUCUUGGCUCUACAAAAGGCUGUGGCAGUGGGUCCCUGAGUAAACCACCAGAAGAAACCUAAGGGGCACCUCUGUUUUUCAGUUAAUCAGUUUUAGCUCAACUGGGAUUUAAUCCUGAAAAUCUAAAUUACAUUUACAGACUUUAAGUUAUUGUGAAUAUUUACACUACAUGGGAGAAUUACCAAAAUAUAUUCGUUACUCAUACAGUUUUCGAAAAACAGGUGAGACAUCUUCCAGUUAAAUUCAUCUUCCUUUUAUGUUUAAUCUAUUGAAGAAUUCUAAACAUUGUUUUGCACCAAAUUGCUCCCUUAAGUUUUAAGAGCCACCUAGUUUGGGCAUCAGAUGUUCUCCUUUAUUUCUGUAAAAAUCUUGCAAAUUCACUCCCAGAAAGAAAUGUAGAGAAUACUAGGCUAUUUCACAGAAAAGGCUUGCUGCCCUUUCCUGAUAACAAGGUAGUUAUUAUUCUUGGCUGAGCCUGUCCCAGAAAGAGUCUUAGGUGACCUGGUGUGGGAAUUGCUAAAUCUCAGGCUACUCACUGAGACUGUCUGCUGCUGUGCUGGGCACUGCAGUCCUCCAGAGCAGGCCUGUCAGCAUCCUACCGUGCUCUGAGUAGGUCCACUGGGGAACCUGGUGGAGUGACAUCAUGUAUCAGCCUCUAGCAGCAACUCCUCUCUGUAGCCCCAUGUCUUUCCUGUGGUACAAAGGAACAAGUGCUACAGGGCAUGUCUGUAAUCGUUAUCCCAAGGGCACGCUCCACAGGCAUCUAAGGGUGAAAGGUACUGCCAGUCUGUUGGGUUUGUUAUUUCCAUAGAGCUACACAGGAAAUAACACCACCAAAAAUAACACAUUCAAACUCAGAGGGCAAUCUUCCCUAACUAUUCAUAGGCACACGUCAGGCAUUCUAUACAUAUACCCAGCUCUUUGCUAAGCAUAGUGAAAUGCCCUUUUACAUUGCAAUUAAUUAUUAGCCAACAUUGAAUAAUUAUUGGUGAGAGGGUAAAGGGCAAGUGAAAUAAAAAUAGAGCUGGUUUAUUUUUAGGAAGACACUAUUUUAAUGUGUUGAUUAAUCAGACAGGUGUUUAAAAGCAUUUGUUAGAGUCAAUUCACAGAAAAUCUCUUUUACAUGCAGGUUACAGCCAAAGAAAGAAAUAAUAGCCAACACAUUUACGAUUUCAAUUGCAAAAAUUGUCAUAUUUUUGAACUUGUGUGGGUAUUUGAAAAUAUUAGCUCCUACUAGGUCCAGUUAAAGCUUUUAAUUCUAUAAGGUUUCAGACUACCAGCUGACCACUGCUCAGCAUCCCCUGGACUCCAAGGGUUUCAUCUAAGACAUCUAAGGAGAAUGUCUACCCGCACAUCGCACUAAUGCCCAUGACUGCACUGCUUGAACCAUGAGGUUAUUGAACAGAAAGCAAAUCCUUUUCUGAAGAGCCUCCAAGAUGUGGAUAUUUCAGUUAAUUUCAGCUCCCUGCCAGCUCAGAAGAAUGAUGCUGUGCUGUGUGCUGUUCCCAUGAAUACUACACGCAGGGCACUGCUCAGUGACUCAGCCUUCCAGGGAGCCAGUCAGGGUUUUGAAGCUGCAUCGUCCCUUUCAUCCUUGAAGUUCUUUUGGAUUUCAUCAAUGGCAUGGAGGGAUAUUUUUAAAACAAUGGAGAUUUUUCAGGACUGGCAAAAGGGCUCCCCUCGUCACAGUGCCAAAACCAUCACAAACAUAAGUUAUGUUAAAAAAAAUCCUAAACUAAAAAUAUCUGGUACUUAGGGAACUAAAAGACAUCUCAUGUUUGCUAUCAUUUCCAUCAGAGCUCAGGUCAAUGGACAGAGAUCAAUACCAAAACAAACAUGCAUACUUAGAGCAUAAAUUCAGAUAAAUGCUGGAGAAUUAACAUGUAGAUAGAAGUACCAUCAUGCCUAAAACAAAAACUCAGUCCAAUGGUUGUUUCAGUGAACUGACUAGCCUUCAUAGAGAAAAGUUUAUUCUUUUCAAACUGAAGUUAAAAGAUAUUCGGUGCUUCAUUCGAAAUUUUCUAUUUCAUGAUUUUUGAAGUAGUGAUUUAGAACUCUUUAGGACUAUAGAAAAUCAUUUUUCUUCUAAAAUGUUGUCUUAGUCCUAAAUUAGAAAAAAAAAUAGUAAGAAAUUAACAAAACAAAAAGUUAAUAGUAUUAUUCACAUAUAUAAAUAAUGGGCCAUCAUGGUAUCUGAUUUUGAUAAAAGGAAAAUAUACUCUGGGAUUAUUUUUCCAAAUUCUGGCACUCUAUUUAUGAGUACCUAGACAGACACUAGAGUCUCAUGGAAUUUAGUAUUAGAAAUGCUACUUUGGAGUACAUUUGAUGUCAUUCAAGUUAAAAAAUUAAGGAAGUAGAUUUUCAAAAUAGGUAGCAUAAAAUGUAAAAUUAUUGAAUGUUGGAGCAAGAAGAUCAUCUAAUGCCCUAGCAGUUCUUAAUGUUGCUUGGGUCAUGGAUCCCUUAAGAACACGAUAAGAGUUUACCUUCUUCCUCCCUAGAAAAUAUACUGCUUUUUCUUUUAUAAUUAAAACAAUAAUAUGAAAGUUAAUCUUAGUCCAGAAGUCCUAAUAGCCCAAGAAUAGAAAUGUCAAAUUCAUCUCAUAUCAUUAGUUUGUAAUUUUCCGUUGCCCUUUUAAUUCCAAUAACACAGAAGCUGUAAAACUGCUUGUCAUCUGACUUUUUAUUUGUCAUUACCCAAUUGAGCUUCUUAUAUUACAGAUAAGGAAAUUGAGGCACAGAGAUAUUAAGAAACUUUUCCGCAGGAAAAAAAAUCUGCUAGUUAUUGAGCUGGGAUUCAAAUUCAGGUAGCUGAUUCUAGUGUGCAUGUGCUAACCACAGCACAUACUGUGGCUAACCAUGCCUACACUCAUGCUCAAAACUACGCUGUGAUAGGUCUUAUUAGCAUCCCCAUUUUACAGACGUGGAGAUUGAGGUGUAGAGUGGUUAAGUGACCUGGCAAAGGUGGCAAAACUAGCAUCACAGUCAGCCAGUCUGGUUCCAGAGGUAGGAACUAAACCAACACACUGCCCUUCACAUGCCUGUGUGUGAGUUCGCACACCCACACAAUACAUGAAUUUGUACAUAUGUAUCUUAGAGGUCAGGGUAAGCUGAGGAUACGCAUGACAAAUGGGAUUAGAUAUGACUUUUUCCUUCUUUCUUUCUUAGUUUUCUAAUUAUUUUGUUUUAAGCAAGCAUUAUUUUGGAAUAAAAAUUAUAAAUAUUAUUUUUAAAAAGCAAACAGGUUGAUAACUUAAAAUGUGUUAGCUGGUGAAACGUCCAGCCUUAUGGAGUAGGCCCCUGAGGUAUAGAAAUGGUUUUGAUGGCAUAGGAUGUAGCCUUGGGAAUGUCCUGGAAGAGUAGGAGCGGCCAGUUAGGCAUUAACACUCAGGAGUAAGGAGACUGCAUUUGGGAUGCUCAGCUGAUUGGAGGGUGGUGUUGAGUGGUCCCCUGGGCAGUGAGAAGAGAGGCCAAUAGCACUGGCACAGGAGGACAAGCAAGUUGUUCUAAGUAAACUCUCAAAUGAACUGAGAGAUAAAAACUCUAAAUUUGGACUGCUUCACAAUUUGCCUAAGGCUGGCCCUACUCAGGCCUUUGCCAGCUGUUGUUUUCUUUUAAGCCUCUGAUCUGCAGGAAAACAGUCCUGAUUUCACAAAGCUUUAACAGAAUUUUUAUAAACGCAGAUUUGGGGCUCCAUAUCCACAAAGUUUUCCAUCCUUUAUUUUGAGAAUCUGCAUAUUUAACAAUGAUCCUCCCCAAGGAACUGCAAUGCAAAUGUCCAAAUACAGUCCUUGGUAAUAUGUGUUUUCACAGGGUGAAGUUUUUGUCCAACACUGUGAGAUGAGAGCUGGGGGAAAAAAAAUGAACAUUAACCAUAGAACAGGAAUGCAAAUUUUCUGAAAAGUAGAGCGCUACUCCUCUCCUCUCUUUUUCUCCAUAUAAUUGAAGAGACACUCAAAUUGAUUGUUUUCCCAUUGUUUCGAAUGGUUGCUCCAUGUAAUUACUGAACUGAACUGGUAGUUUGGGGGGAAUAGGGGAAAUUCAGAGAAUGUUGUGUAGAAGUAGAAGUCUACCUAUGUCAAUGACCUAUUUUAGCAUUUUUCUCUAUUAACUGGCUAACAAUUCGCUUGGAAACUCCUCCAGCUGAGGCUUUGUUAGGCUUUGCUGAAAAUAAAUUAGGUGACUCAUUAAAUUGUUGCUGGAGUUAAAAAAAAUUAGGCUUAUUGAUUCUUAAAUUUCUGCUAAAAAUGUUGCUAAAUUAAAUAUAGGUUAUUGUCUUUAUCAAAACAAAUAACCCACAGCUUCUGUAUUGCUUUAUCUGUAUUCAAAAGUUUGGGCCGGGCGCAGUGGCUCAUGCCUGUAAUCCCAGCACUUUGGGAGGCUGAGGCGGGUGGAUCACCAGAGGUCAGGAGUUCGAAACCAGCCUGGCCAACAUGGCGAAACUCCAUCUCUAGUAAAAAUACA
This 14418-nucleotide long non-coding RNA is filed under the name Homo sapiens (human). Its description in RNAcentral is "HSALNT0326804". Lineage: Eukaryota; Metazoa; Chordata; Mammalia; Primates; Hominidae. The record is from RNAcentral.